UACUUUUGCACCGUCUAACAAUAGAUGCUAGACAUACAUAAAAAUCAUUAAACAAAUAUUGGAAUG
This 66-nucleotide non-coding RNA is filed under the name Flavobacterium frigidarium DSM 17623. RNAcentral describes it as "S15-Flavobacteria ribosomal protein leader". It matches the Rfam family "S15-Flavobacteria ribosomal protein leader". Lineage: Bacteria; Pseudomonadati; Bacteroidota; Flavobacteriia; Flavobacteriales; Flavobacteriaceae. The record is from RNAcentral.